Molecule: ribosomal RNA, 484 nt
Filed under: uncultured bacterium
Lineage: Bacteria
Description: partial 16S ribosomal RNA
Rfam family: Bacterial small subunit ribosomal RNA
Source: RNAcentral
AUUAAACGCUGGCGGCAGGCCUAACACAUGCAAGUCGAGCGGAUGAAGGGAGCUUGCUCCUGGAUUCAGCGGCGGACGGGUGAGUAAUGCCUAGGAAUCUGCCUGGCAGUGGGGGAUAACGUCCGGAAACGGGCGCUAAUACCGCAUACGUCCUGAGGGAGAAAGUGGGGGAUCUUCGGACCUCACGCUAUCAGAUGAGCCUAGGUCGGAUUAGCUAGUUGGUGGGGUAAAGGCCUACCAAGGCGACGAUCCGUAACUGGUCUGAGAGGAUGAUCAGUCACACUGGAACUGAGACACGGUCCAGACUCCUACGGGAGGCAGCAGUGGGGAAUAUUGGACAAUGGGCGAAAGCCUGAUCCAGCCAUGCCGCGUGUGUGAAGAAGGUCUUCGGAUUGUAAAGCACUUUAAGUUGGGAGGAAGGGCAGUAAGUUAAUACCUUGCUGUUUUGACGUUACCAACAGAAUAAGCACCGGCUAACUUCGUG